Molecule: ribosomal RNA, 529 nt
Filed under: uncultured Glomeromycotina
Lineage: Eukaryota; Fungi; Glomeromycota
Also listed under: 1 other name
Description: SSU rRNA
Rfam family: Eukaryotic small subunit ribosomal RNA
Source: RNAcentral
AGCAGCCGCGGUAAUUCCAGCUCCAAUAGCGUAUAUUAAAGUUGUUGCAGUUAAAAAGCUCGUAGUUGAAUUUCGGGAUUGGCGCAUCGGUCGUGCCUCACGGGGUAUGAACUGGUGCAGUCAAUUUCUCACCUUCUGGAGAACCGCGAUGUCCUUAAUUGGAUGCCGUGGGGAACCAGGACCUUUACUUUGAAAAAAUUAGAGUGUUUAAAGCAGGCAUUUUUGCUUGAAUACAUUAGCAUGGAAUAAUAAAAUAGGACGGCAUGGUUCUAUUUUGUUGGUUUCUAGGACCACCGUAAUGAUUAAUAGGGAUAGUUGGGGGCAUUAGUAUUCAAUUGUCAGAGGUGAAAUUCUUGGAUUUAUUGAAGACUAACUACUGCGAAAGCAUUUGCCAAGGAUGUUUUCAUUAAUCAAGAACGAAAGUUAGGGGAUCGAAGACGAUCAGAUACCGUCGUAGUCUUAACCAUAAACUAUGCCGACUAGGAAUCAGACGAUGUUAAUUUUUUAAUGACUCGUUUGGCACCUUACG